This 1527-nucleotide ribosomal RNA is filed under the name Acinetobacter baumannii. RNAcentral describes it as "partial 23S ribosomal RNA". It matches the Rfam family "Bacterial large subunit ribosomal RNA", at positions 1419 to 2925 of the family's 2925-position model. Lineage: Bacteria; Pseudomonadati; Pseudomonadota; Gammaproteobacteria; Moraxellales; Moraxellaceae. The record is from RNAcentral.
UGGGAAAAUGGUUAAUAUUCCAUUACUUCUGUGUAAUGCGAUGAGAGGACGGAGAAGGCUAAAUCAGCCUGGCGUUGGUUGUCCAGGUGAAAGGAUGUAGGCAUGUAUCUUAGGCAAAUCCGGGGUACUCUAUGCUGAGAUCUGAUAGCAAGCUGUACUUGUACAGCGAAGUGGUUGAUGCCAUGCUUCCAGGAAAAGUCUCUAAGCUUCAGUUACACAGGAAUCGUACCCGAAACCGACACAGGUGGUCAGGUCGAGUAGACCAAGGCGCUUGAGAGAACUCUGCUGAAGGAACUAGGCAAAAUGGUACCGUAACUUCGGGAGAAGGUACGCUGUUGUUGGUGAUGGAACUCGCUUCCUGAGCUGACGACAGCCGCAGAAACCAGGCCGCUGCAACUGUUUAUUAAAAACAUAGCACUCUGCAAACACGAAAGUGGACGUAUAGGGUGUGAUGCCUGCCCGGUGCUGGAAGGUUAAUUGAUGGGGUUAGCGUAAGCGAAGCUCUUGAUCGAAGCCCCAGUAAACGGCGGCCGUAACUAUAACGGUCCUAAGGUAGCGAAAUUCCUUGUCGGGUAAGUUCCGACCUGCACGAAUGGCAUAAUGAUGGCGGCGCUGUCUCCAGCAGAGGCUCAGUGAAAUCGAAAUCGCUGUGAAGAUGCAGUGUACCCGCGGCUAGACGGAAAGACCCCGUGAACCUUUACUGCAGCUUGACACUGAACUUUGACCUUACUUGUGUAGGAUAGGUGGGAGGCUUUGAAGCUGGAACGCUAGUUCCAGUGGAGCCGUCCUUGAAAUACCACCCUGGUAAUGUUGAGGUUCUAACUCUGUCCCGUGAUCCGGGACGAGGACCGUGUCUGGUGGGUAGUUUGACUGGGGCGGUCUCCUCCUAAAGAGUAACGGAGGAGUACGAAGGUGCGCUCAGCGUGGUCGGAAAUCACGCGUAGAGUAUAAAGGCAAAAGCGCGCUUAACUGCGAGACCCACAAGUCGAGCAGGUACGAAAGUAGGUCUUAGUGAUCCGGUGGUUCUGUAUGGAAGGGCCAUCGCUCAACGGAUAAAAGGUACUCUGGGGAUAACAGGCUGAUACCGCCCAAGAGUUCAUAUCGACGGCGGUGUUUGGCACCUCGAUGUCGGCUCAUCUCAUCCUGGGGCUGAAGCAGGUCCCAAGGGUAUGGCUGUUCGCCAUUUAAAGAGGUACGCGAGCUGGGUUUAGAACGUCGUGAGACAGUUCGGUCCCUAUCUACCGUGGGCGCUGGAAAUUUGAGAGGAUCUGCUCCUAGUACGAGAGGACCAGAGUGGACGAACCUCUGGUGUACCGGUUGUGACGCCAGUCGCAUCGCCGGGUAGCUAUGUUCGGAAGGGAUAACCGCUGAAAGCAUCUAAGCGGGAAGCCUACCUCAAGAUAAGAUUUCCCUAGGACUUUAUGUCCUCUAAAGAGCCGUUCGAGACUAGGACGUUGAUAGGUUGGAUGUGGAAGCAUAGUGAUAUGUGAAGCUGACCAAUACUAAUUGCUCGUGAGGCUUGACUAU